RNAcentral lists this ribosomal RNA (535 nucleotides) under Ogataea piceae. Its description in RNAcentral is "eukaryotic LSU rRNA". It matches the Rfam family "Eukaryotic large subunit ribosomal RNA", at positions 104 to 646 of the family's 3401-position model. Lineage: Eukaryota; Fungi; Ascomycota; Pichiomycetes; Pichiales; Pichiaceae. The record is from RNAcentral.
UAUCACUAAGCGACAGCAAUACGGGUCCCUUCCUAUGCACUAGUUAGAAUUUGAAGAACGCUGUCUUGGAUUUGGCCUUUGUCUAUGUUCCUUGGAACAGGACGUCACAGAGGGUGUNNAAUCCCGUGCGAUGAGGUGUCCAUUUCUAUGAGAGAUGUUUUCGAAGAGUCNAGUUGUUUGGGAAUGCAGCUCCUAAGUGGGUGGUAAAUUCCAUCUAAAGCUAAAUAUUGGCGAGAGACCGAUAGCGAACAAGUACAGUGAUGGAAAGAUGAAAAGAACUUANAAAAGAGAGUGAAAAAGUACGUGNAAAUUGUUGAAAGGGAACGGUAUUAGAUCAGACUUGGUAUUUAGUUAUCAUUACUCCUUGUGGGUGGUGCUCUAACUUUUUACUGGGCCAGCAUCAGUUUUGGUGGCAGGAUAAUGACAUUUGAAUGUGCCCUCCUCGGAGUGUUAUAGCUUUUGUUUGAUACUGCNCUCUUCGGGACUGAGGCUCUGCGGCCUUUGCCUACGAUGCNUGGCGUAAUGAUCCAAUACC